Non-coding RNA from Podarcis lilfordi (Lilford's wall lizard), 66 nucleotides. The record is from the annotation of a GenBank genome assembly. Lineage: Eukaryota; Metazoa; Chordata; Lepidosauria; Squamata; Lacertidae.
GUAGCCCAGUUGUAGAGCAUCUGCCUUGCCUUCAGAAGGUCCCAGGUUCAAUCCUUGGAAUAUCCA